GGGCCGCGGCGCCGCCUCCUCCCGCGCCGGGCGGGGCUGCCCGGGGCUCUGCCGCGGGCGCGAGGCAGCCCUGGGCGCGGCGGCGCGCGCCGCUGACGACAAGCCGCCGCCCUCCCACGAAAUGGCGGUGGCGGCCGGAUCUAGCUGCGUGCCGUGACGCGGCGGUGCGGUAUCCCUCCGCGCGCCAAGCGGCCGCCCCGGCUGUCCCGUCAGCGCCGGGAGGAGCCGGUGCCGCUGGGCGGGGAGGGGCCCGCGCUGCUCCGCCGCCUGCCCGCCCCGGGGCCCGGCAUCGCCCGCCCCCGCUCGGUGCCGCAGCCGCCUGCCGCCGCCGGCCCGCCCUUCCGCGUCUCCGAGCGGCUGCGCCGGGCGGGGCGCCGGGCGGUUUGCGGCGCGGCUGCGGGUUCCUUCCGCCUCGGAAGAAGCGCCCGCGCGCGCCCGGCCCGAGCCGCCGCGGGACGCGGAGCAAGGAGGGUGCGUCGGCGGGAGGCCCAGGGCGAAGGGGCCCGCAGCGGUCACCGGUGCCGGUGAGGCCGUACAGCGCUGCUCUCGGCUGGAGAGAAACCGCGUCAGCGAGGGGGGCCGGCCUGGCGUGAGAGCAGCGGGCCGCACGGCCAGCUGAACCAAGCCGGGUGCAGGCUGCAGGGAGGGCGCAGGCUGUCGGCUGAAGGGACAGGGUAAUAAAGUCAUUACUUAAUUUGCAGUGAUACCUUCUGCUACACUUCCACCUCCUUUGAGGCUUUUUAUUUUGCGCAGCACAGGUUCACAAAUCACUCUCAGCUAGGCCCUUUCUUCUUAACAUAUAAUACAUGGUGCAGAUGUCUGCAGAGUUGUGUACGUGGGGAAGGACUCCUGUUCCCCCUCCAUGGAGAAACAAGCAGAGAAAGACUGCCAGACUGCCUUUCUGUUGUAAUGAGGGAAUGUAUUAAUAAACGUGGCAUUUGCUGUCCUGGGAGUAAAGAUACGUAAUCAGCUAAAGCUGCUGCAGUUUGCCUUCACUGUAGUGCCUUUACUACACUACUGCUAUCUAGGAUGCUAAUUAUUACUUGUCUGGAGAAGGCAGCAUAUUCAUAAAAGCUGAUUGUGUAACCAAGUUUUCAGUACAAAGCUUGGCAAUAGCCUGCAGUGAAUUAGGGGAGCAAUGCUCUUUUUUUAUUUUAAAAAUAGUGUAGUAGGUCUGCCAUAGUUUUUUUAGCAUUCAUAUAAUGUACAGGCUAGAGAGAAAACAACGUCUUGUAAGGUCCAGUUACCUUUUUGUGAUCACCUAAACUCCUCAGAGCAACUUCCUUCUGCAGUCUUCAUUUUCUGCCUAUUAUUUUAAUUGUACCAAACAGCAUAUUGAGGACGAGUAGUCUCAAACAAUUUCAUUAAUGUUCUUACCAUCUUAAUCAAGAAUAUUGCUGAAAAACACCUUGCUGUUCCUUGCCUGCUUUGGAUCAUGGAUGCUAUUAGACUGCUUCAAAUCAUCACCGUGUCUUUCUGUCACACACACUCUGCCUGUAAAUUGCUUCCAAACUUCCUGAACUUCAUUAUUGUUUAUCAUACCGAGAGAUGUAGCUACUUGACAGUAUUCCUGUUCUAUUUUUUUAAUUAUUAUUUUGGAUUAAUUACCUCUAAUAUGACUCCAUUUUAAGAGUUUUGAUCUGGCUUGCAAUUUGCAUUUUACUGUAUAAUGAAAGGAAUGAAAAACAGAGCAAAUACAUUGUUGACACUGUGUAAUUUUCCCUGCUAAUUUAAAACAACAAGAUCUGGUAAAUCAAGUUUUGUUUGUGCGCCUUCCAACAGUUACCUGUUAAAAUCAAUAUAUCUAUUAGCAUUUGACCCCAAAUAGAAUUUAAAAUGUAUCGGAUAGCUCUUGUUAUGGCCAUGGCUCAGAGAUGGGUUUGCAUAUUUUGUUUUAGUAUACCCAUUUAAACAAACUCUUUAUUAUACUCACUGGUAAUUUUUUUAAAAAACAAAUGUGUCAAUUUAAAUACUUACCUUUGAAUACACUUGAGAAAAAGAAAAAAAGUAAUGACUUGUGAAGGAAUGAAAAAUAAGAUGCAUGCUCACAGUUCUGUGGCCAUUCCUGCAAGUCACAGUGCACAGUCCUGCUUGGGGGACAUUGUACUUCUCACCGUCAUCUCUCUUCCUCAAAUUGUGAGGUAAAAAUCAUCUUUUUUCCCUGCAGUGUUUGGAAAUAAAUUGAUUUUUUACUUAAGUAAGAAUACUCAGGCAAGUAACCUUGUGACCGUAAUAUAUUGCUGUGCCAUUCACAAAACUUCUCACCUUUACCAUAAGCAUCAGGUGUACCAUAACGCUACUUGCACAGAUACCUCAUCUAAGAAGACAAAAUGCAAGAGGCACAGGUGGUGGUUACUGAAUAUGGGUGUUGCAACUUACUGUGGAACUACCACAGUCUUAUUUGGGUUUGUUUCACCUUAAUUUGAUUUCUGAAGCUAAUCCUCAGAAAUGCCUGAAGAGAGGUAUUACUAUGUAGUAGAGUCAGGUUAGAUUUUCAGAGGCUUAUUAUGCAAAAUAGCUUGGUAGAUGUGGCACAGUAAUAAACAGUUUGCACAAAAAUACUAAGAACAGACUGGCUCACUUGAACUCCAUCUUUGAAUUUCAUUUGCUUUUUCAAGUACAGUGUGCCAGAGCCCUGUGCAGCCAAGUGGUCAAUAACCUCCAAAGGCUGAAUUUGCCAGUCCGUUUCAGCUGCUUUGUGAUGGUUCAGCAGAGCAAGCACGAAUGGAGAUUGCUUUCAUGUAUUGUUAUAGCACAUCUCAGCGUAGAGUGGACUUGAAGGAAAAGCAUCCCAGCCUUAGUUUAAAGGUGGAGCAACCAAGCACCCUGGACACCAAGCAGCAUUGCAUACAUGGCACUUCAUGUAUCCGAGAGGAAAGGGAGAAACCAGAUGCAGAAUGUUUCAAAAAAUAUCUUCCUUUCUGGGAAAAAAAAGAUUUACUUCCAACAAAAGCAAGACAUCCUGAAUAAUCCGUGCAGUAGACCAUUAUUAGUUCUUGUUUGGAGGAGACAAAACAACAGUUUCUGAUGCUGGAAAACAAAGCACUAAGAUGAUUAACAGCAACAGCUUCCCUGUGUUUGCAUUUAAUACCAGGUCUCAAUUUUCUCUUCAGCAUCCUGUCCAACUUGUUUUUCCUUUAAUUAUCAUAAAUCAAGCUUGCAGUCAAAUCCCUCUUUAAUCAGAGCAAAGCUCACCUAUUUGGGACCCUUUUUAGUUACUGGAGACCACAAAGAAUAAGAUCACAGAAGAAAGGUGAUAAACUAAGAUUGUCCCAUUAGCUUUUUUUAACACAAUAAACAAAAAGGCUGAAUUUGCCAAACCAAGUGCAAGUACGUGACAGUGGAAGAAAAACAGGUUUGGGGGUAUCAUUGGGUUCUACCUGAUCCAUGUUUUAAAUUCUAAAGACCAGCAGCCCUUCAUGUGUAGCUGGGAGCUUCUCCCCUUCAAGGAUGGCAAGGCCCUCAUGUAUAUAUAGACAUGAAUUAGAUCCCCCCCUCAGUCUUCUCUCCAGACUGAAAAGCCCCAGGUCUCUUGGCCUUUCCAUGUAAGGCAGGUGUUCCACUCCCUUAAUCAUCCUCUUAGCUCUCCACUGGACUCUCUCAAGUAUAUCUCUGUCCCUCUUAAAUUGGGGAGCCCAGAACUGGACACAAUACUCCAUGUGAGGUCUCACCAGGGCCGAGUAGAGGGGGAGGAGAACCUCCCUUGAUCUUCUGGAGACACUCCUCUUAAUGCACCCCAAGAUACCACUGGGCUUCUUGGCCACAAGGGCACAUUGUUGUCCCAUGGAUAACAUGUCCACCAGAACUCCAAGGUCCUCCUCCACGGAGCUGCUCUCUAGCAGAUCACCUCCUAGCCUAUACUGGUGUAUUUUGUUGUUCCUUCCCAGGUGCAAAAGAAUAUAAAUUAUUACUUUAGUAACUUACACAAAGAUCAACAGACCAAAGUUUGCUACAAAAUCUUCCGGUCUUCAGGAUUUUCCUUAGCACUUCAUUGUUCAGCACUUUUUUAACCUCAUAGUGACAACGUAGUUUUGUUCCAGUUAAGAAAAUUUUUUCUCUUAUCUUGAAAUCCUUACAGGACAUAGGAGCUAUUUUGCAAGAAUAAAGUUUUGACAACAUAAAAUUCAUUAUGUUAUCUUUGCAGACUUAAAAGACAAAAAUCUCUGAAUAUUGCUACAGGAUAUUAACAUCCAUACAGAGUAUUAAUUUUUUCCCCAGCAAAACUACCGUUUGAUCUAAAUGAAAAAUAUGUUCAAGUCAGCAGCAGUUUGUGUCAACAAGGACUUUCAUUUUCUGUGCUGAUACAGUCAUAUGGAUAUUGAAGCAUGGAACUCAGAUGAGCACAUGCACAGCGUAAUUAUGAUGCCAGUUUUGAAAAAUGAAAAGGCUUGUUGUCGUGCAGUUGCUAACUAUGUUUGUUUUCUUCUUUCGUAGGAAUUCUUUACAUUCCUGAAUAAACACAGAUAAUAUAUGCAUACAUGUCAAAACAGCAUCUUAAAAUAGGGGUGUGAAGACCUGAGCAAUUAGUCACAGUUGCUAAAAUAAGAUAAACACAGGCUAAAUUCAGCAGGUGAAGUCCCUCUCUGGAUCAAAUAACGAGUUUUACCAAUUUCAGUAUGCCAGGGUACACGAGUUGGAGAUCUCUUCAAAAAGGUGUUUAAUGGUGACCUACUUUACCCAAUCCCUUUGGAGGUGGCUGCUUUUCCUUGCUAUACCUGCUUUUUGACCCCUCAGGCUGCCUUUAGACUGCAUGCUAAGUCUGUAGGAGUUCCACUGUUACUGAAAAUGACCAAGAUCUUACAGCAGUUUUCAGCAGUCUUAAUUUGGCCUACUGUUUUUACUAAAGGAGACAUCAGAGGAUUCUCUGAAGCACUUUCAAGAUACAUCUAUUUUUAUUACUUUGGUGUUUUUGACUACUAGUCAGAUUUGGACCAUCAUCAUUCGGUUGCUCCUUCGAUACUCGUUCCAGGAUGCAAAUAUAUGAAGCAAACCACAACCUUGGGGAGUGUUUGGGUUUAACAAAUUAUUUGACCGGUGUACCUAAUGCACUAUAAAAGUUGCUUAUCUAGAUAAAACGUUAAGGAUUAAAGUUAAUUAUUCAAACAGGCCAGCUAACAUAUUUCACAGGCUCCCUAGUAUAGGCAAGGCUGUUCAGACUUCACAACAUGUUGAUUUAUUUGAAGCACAGGCUUCCGUUCACCUGGCUGGCUACAUGCUAAGUACAAUUUCCACUGUUUGAUUAAAGUUAGAGGGGAUUCAUUAGUCUAAGCUAAUCAGAACACUGAUGGUGCGCUUUAUACUGAAGUAUAAACUGCCUGUUAUCUUAGGAGGUUUUCCCACAGAGAUCAGGUAGUGUUUCCAGAAGACCUGAGGCAGGGACCCUCUGUGAGUUAGCAGCCUUAGUACCAUUGACUUCCCAAAUGGCCCACAGCAAACUACCUUUCUUGGCCAUUCCCCAUUCCAGGGCAAUCCUGCUGGUGAAUCAUUCAUGUAUUUGUAGCUAAACAUUACAGUUCAGCAGAGGUAUUAGGUUGACUUUCUGUCACUCUUCAUUUAGAGGCUUUUUUUCCUUGUAGAACAUUCUCUUUUUUUUUCCCAUUCCGUUUUAUAUAAAAUAAUGUUUCCCUGGAGAAAUCAUUACAUAGUCUUCUAGAUUUAAGUGUUUUGAUUGUUUGAUGCCAUAUUGACUUAAUUUAAAAUAAUUAUUUAAGUAAGUAAAAAAAUCUACAGAAAUACUUCAGGGUUUUUUUGUUUGUUUUGUCUUUGAACUGACAGGAGUACGUGCUGUGUAUUUAGGUGAAGGAUUUAACUAGCCAGUUAUCAUGUGGCACCAGGAGUCACUUGCAACUCACCUUUAAAGAUUUGGCUGGUCUUUUCAGUUUUUGGUGUGUCACAGUUAACAAUAAGAUGUCAAAGAGCUUGCUCAAUCAUCUGGGUAAUUACAACCAAACAUAUCUCUUAGAAGGAAGAAAUAUUAUUCUUGUUUGCCGUCAUAUUGAAUUUGGGAAAUCUUCUUGAUGACUCUGAAUCACCAAUACUGAAUUUAGCUAGUUAUUACACUGUUCAUCAUUAUGGUUAGGGGGAUGGAUCAGGGUAGUAUUUCUGAAAGGAUGGGUUGUGACACAGCAGUCAUGAAACAUGGUCAGGUAUUGGCAAUUUGUUUAGAAUUGUGCAAAUUAUAAAGGAAAGGCAACCUAGCUUCUGCAUUCCCGGUGACUUCUAUUCUUCAAGGUCAAGAAUGCUUUUCAGCCUUUCAAGAACAAUUCCACAUAUUUAUCACUUUUACAAGCAAUAGAUACUAAUUCAUUUGUAUAAAGAUAAGGGCUGCAAUUUUUUCUUUUUCUUUGGAUAACGGGACAUAAUCUUAAAAAAAGAAAAAAAACAACACUGGGAAAUACUGGCUUAAGGAGUUGCUAGUUGCAAGCCACUAAUUUUCUCAGUAAUAAUGAUUUAAAUUCAGGUGAACAGGAAAAAGAUAAUUUCUUGGUCUUUCCUGACUAUUUGGUGGCCUACAUUAAAUGAUUUUAAGAUCUCUGUUUAGCUCCCAUAUUAGAAAAACGGGCACUGCUGCAGUUAGGCAUGGAGGACUCAGGUACUUAGGAGCCUAAAUUAUAUGCUUACCCUUAAAUCGUUCAGGAUAUUUGACAGUAUCAAAUCAUAUUGGACAGGCAAUUUGAGGGACUAUUUGCAGCAUCCACUUACUGAAUAAUUAUAAAAUUUCUGUCCCUGAAGCUGUCAAAAUAACUCACAUAAAAGUGUAAAAAAGCAGAACAAAAAUAAUUUAAUUCCUCUUGGGGAAGGAGCUUAAAACAUUCUCAAGCAUCUUAAUAAAUUAACUAUAGACAACUAUGACACGACUAAUUUUCAAUGAAGGCUUUCUGCUCUAAAAAAACCCACUACGAUCUUUUCCUAAUUUCCAAAAGCACCCUCCCAGCAUGUUGUUCAAGAUUAUGCCUCUUAAUUACCAUGUAUUCGUUUUUCAUUUCCUUUUUGCUUUUCACAGUAAUGAGGCUUACAUUUCCUGUAAAGUAAGUUUUUCAAACUUUGAGGUGGUAUGUUUAUAUCUUACUUUUUGCAUUGGUUGCUUUAUCUGCUGAUUCAAAGGGAAAAAAACACCUGAUUAAAAAAAAAGUAUUUACAGACCUUACAGCUCCCUGUACUGUAGCAAAGUACAGAAUUUCUGUGAAAUUCUGGCAAUAUCUUAAAAAGUAACUGGGGAAGUAGCUUACAAAUCUUCUAGGGAAUAGCCAACUACCUAGAUCUGGAAGUGUGCUGUGCUGCAGCUGACCUGCAGUCCAGAGGGCAGGGAGUGCCUGGAAAAAACAGAAAAGAAAAAAACAUUAGUAAGAUAGGCAUAAAAGAGGCCAUAUUAAUCUUAUUUACCUGCUGUAAAUGUCAUUGCCUUGGAACCAAGACAGCCACUCUUUCCCUGAUUUCAUCUCCAUUGGUUAUACAUAUAUUUGUUGUCUGAAAUUGAAGAGGGAUGGUGUUUUGGGGAUUGUUUUUUUUUGCUCCUUUAUUCUGGUGAGAUGACAGAAAAGUAGUAUGGGUUACUGUCAAUGCCUUGCCUGGCUAACCUUGAAAAGGGGAGACAGGGUGAGAAAUCUCUGCAGCGCUGCUGUUACACAGCAGCUUCAGAAGGAGUGAUAAACUGCUGUUUUACUGCAGUGUCAGUGGGCAUCGUGACACAGGAAGAACUUCAGAGCAGAGUGUAGUCAUAUUGCAGAGAUCAUGUACUCUGUCCUCCGCAGGGGAAGCUGGUAGUUUUUCUGUCCUAUAAUUAGCCACUGCCAACAAAAGCACAUUGCGUCACUGGAAUUAGUCUUGUGGCAUUCUCACCUUUGCCUUCCAAAAUGAAGGAAGUACCUUUGAGUGACAGCUAGUACACCAAGGAAGUAAAGUACUGAUGGAACAAAUACACCCUUAGUUACCUGCUAAAGGAUAUAUAGUCUUCACUGUUAGCAAAAUCAACGCAGUUUAAAAGGGAAUGGUAAGUGGUCCCCUGCUGAAAAUAUAUUGACAUAUAUAUAGCUUCUUUUCCCUGAAAUUCUGAUCAUAAAGAGAAAGGCUUACAGGGUUUUAAUAGUGGUUUUACUUAACAAUCUGUUUCUUUAGCAGCAUGUACUUCCCAGAUUAUGUCAGCUUUGCCCUCUGUAGGUCCUUUAGCGUAGAGGAGGAUGUAUCUGUUCUCCAUCACUGCAGCUUUGUCCCAGAGGACAAUUAUUGCAACAAACCAGGCAGAACCUGCCACAAAUGAGUAACAUAUCUGGUCUUUUGUGAACAUACUAGUGAAUCCUAGGAACACUUUUUCUGAUUCGUGUAAAGCUGUUGUGAAUUAGCAACUCCCUGGAAGACAAUAAAGUUCCAAAACUGUGCAAGUCUGUAUAUGGCCAGCAAUCAGAUCUGUCUGGAUCCUCAUGAGCGGUACGUAACGUGGAUGGAAAGAUUGAAUGAUUCAUGUAAUGGGUUAAAAUUUAAAACUCCUUGCAGCUUUCUAUUUACUGUGUACUUUCUUGUGCAUCAUGAGUAUCACUUGACUGCUGUUACUUACAAUAGUUUCAUGUCAUACAACUUGUUACUUUCUAUGCUCUAAAUAAAGGCAGUUGAAAUCAGUGA
Molecule: long non-coding RNA, 8616 nt
Organism: Apus apus (common swift)
Lineage: Eukaryota; Metazoa; Chordata; Aves; Apodiformes; Apodidae
Exons: 2
Source: RefSeq, a predicted model, not a curated record